Molecule: long non-coding RNA, 250 nt
Filed under: Solanum tuberosum (potato)
Lineage: Eukaryota; Viridiplantae; Streptophyta; Magnoliopsida; Solanales; Solanaceae
Description: long non-coding RNA (STUB_LNC011188)
Source: RNAcentral
UUUUAAUCCUCACUUGGAUUUGUUGUCAUUUUCACAUAUGGAGAUAGGGAGAAUGCAAUAGAUGCAUGUUGCUAUGCUCGUGUCUGGUAAUCACAUAAUGUCUAUUUCUAGGGUGUUGUUUGGUUUGAGGUAUAAGCCAAGAUAAACUUGGUAUGCAAAUCGGUACUCCCUCUGUCCCUAAUUACUUGUCCACUUUUCCUUUUAUAGUUGUCCCUAAUUACUUGUCCAUUUUGACAAAUCAAGAAAGGAC